Molecule: long non-coding RNA, 5757 nt
Filed under: Salvia miltiorrhiza (redroot sage)
Lineage: Eukaryota; Viridiplantae; Streptophyta; Magnoliopsida; Lamiales; Lamiaceae
Description: long non-coding RNA (SMIL_LNC006566)
Source: RNAcentral
GAUAUGUAGGUUAUCUGCCUCCCAACGCGCGGCGGAUAUUGAGGUUAUCCUAGCGGUGGAUAUUGAGGUUUUCCCGGCGGUUGCAGCGACUGCUGAUGAAAAGGCGGACGUCGACACUCAGAACUAAGCAAGGCAGCCUUAUAAUUAAGCCUAAGAUGUAAUGAAUAAAAUGCAUGCUCGUGGUGUGCCGGUUUUACUUGUUAUAUAUAUUAUGAUGAUGUAACCGUCUGAUUUAUGUAAUUUUGCUUUCGCUAAUACACCAACUUUUAAGUAUUUUUAGUUUGGGGGACACUUGUGUGCGCGCAAGUUUAAAACUGCGCGCAUGGUGAGCGCUAUAUUAAAAGAAAAAAUAAAAAAAUACAACGGUUUACUAGUAUUAGGCUUUUGCAUAUUUUUUUUUCCUUUUUUUUGUUUUUUUUUNUCAUUUGCGUUUUUUAUGUUUUUUUUUCCAAGGCACUUCUAUACCACAUCGAAAAGUAUAAUUUCAUAUAUUAAAGGUGUCAUUUAUUAAAAAAAAUAGUGUCAUUUAAAUAUAUUAAAAAUAUUAUUUAAAUAUAAAUAUAAUACUCCCUCCGUCCCAAACGAAAAGUCCUAUUCUUUUCGGCACGGAGAUUAAGAAAUGUGUAUAAAGUAGAUAAAGUGGGUUGGUGGAAAUUAUUUAAAUAUAAGUAUAGAGAGAGAAUGUAUUGCCAAAAAAGGAAACAUGACAUUUCGUUUGGGACAGCCCAAAAAGAAAAACAUGACAUUUCAUUUGGGACGGAGGGAGUAUUAUUUAUUAAUGCAUAUUUACAUAUAUUAAAGUGUCAUUUAAAUAUAAAAUAAUUAUUAAUGCAGAUGGUGUUAUUUAAUAAAAUAGUGUCAUUUAAAUAUUUUUAAAGUGUUUUUUACUAACAAAAAUAAUAUCAAUGUUAUAGUGUCAUUUUUUUUAUCCGAUAAACAAAUGACACUACAAUAUUUCAAAAGACACUACUCCGACAAACAAAUGAUACUAUAAGAUUUCAAAUGACACUAUAACAUUUCAAAUGACACUACUCUGACAAACAAAUAACACUAUAUGAUUUCAAAUGACACAAUAUGAUUUCAAAAAACACUAUAAUAUUUGAAAUUACACUACUUGGACAUACAAAUGAUACUAUAACACUUGAAUAUUUCAAAUGACACCACAAAAUUUCGAAUGUCACAUUAACAUUUCAAAUUACACUACUUCGACAUACAAAUGACACCAUAAGAUUUCAAAUGUCACUAUAACAUUUCGAAUGACACUUUGACAUUUCAAAUAACACUACUCUGACAAACAAAUGACACUGCAAGAUUUCAAAUGACGCUAUAAGAUUUCAAAUGACACUUUGACAUUUCGAAUAAUACUAUGUCAUUCAAAUGCCACUAUAAGAUUUCAAAUGACACUAUAAGUUUUGAAAUGACAGUAUUCCAACAUAAAAUAAUAUUAUAACAUUUCAACAUUUGAAAUGACACUUUAACAUUUCAAAUGACACUUUAACAUUUCAAAUGAAACUAGAAGAUUUCCAGUAAAUAGGGAUUUUGUAUAUUUAGUUUAAUAUUAAAAAUAAUCGAAAUAACUUGAUUAGAUAUUUAUACAAUGUUCUUGUUUCAUGAUCCUCGUACUUUUUACAAUUUUUUUAUUUGAUUCUUAUUUGAAAUAUUUAGUAAAUUGAUUAUCUUCCGCAUCACAACACUUCAUGUGGUUGAUACAACAUGUGGAGCUUGAGCCAUCUAAGUGGCCCUCUAACUGUUCGACGAAAUGACUAAAAGAAUCUGGUAUGAUGAGAAGUGCUCCAAGCCUCCAACUGUUCAUUUUUUAUUAUCGCAUUGCAAUUCGAGUUUAGUUGUUUGUGAUUCAUCUCGAUCAAAACAGACAGAACAUUCCCGCUAACGCGCAAAUAUAUAAUUUGUACUUAUAUUUUUUCUCAGAUAAAUGGUAAUCUAUAUCUAUUAUAUCGAAUGAACAAACUCAUGGUUGGUAAUUUAUAUCUAUACCUAUUAUAAAAGAGCUUUAUUUUACAAAAUUUAAUUUACCUUUUAUAUCCCUCAUAUAUACUUAAUAAGGUCAAUUAUGUAAUUUAAUACUCCAUUCGUCCCAACUUUUAGUAUUCAUCUUUUAUUUUUUAGUCAUCUCACAUUUUGUCAUCCAUUUCUAUUUUUAGUAAAAGUAGGUGAGACUCUUACUCCACUUUCAAUUAUUUUAACACUCACAUAAAAGAUGAAAUCUUUAUUCCAUUCACAAUACACUCAAUCACUUUAUUAAAACCCGUGCCAAUCUCAAAUGAAUACUAAAAGUUGAGACGAAGGGAGUAUAUUAUACAUUAAAUAAAUCUAAAAUAUAUUAUGGUUUAUGUUUUAUAUUUUAAUAAUUAUUUAAGUAGUAGUAUCCAUUAGAAUCUUCAUCGACAUAAAUUACUAUUUUUUACUAUGUAAAUUUAAUAAUUUAAAAUUACAAUCGAAAGGAUUUAUUGUUUUAUUAGAAGUUUAAUUUUGCUAGAAUCCUUGGAAUUAAAAUUAAUUUUGUAAAGAUGAAACCUAAAAAUAAAUAUGAAUUUCAUAUCAAUUUUCUUUUCUUUUUGGUUGUUUUUUUUUAAGUAUGAUAAAAUUAGGCGGUGCUUAACUAAUUAAAAUUAAAUUUGAAUAUUAAAUUUAGAUUAUUUUUAUUUUAUUUUUAUGAGUUUUAAAAUAUUAUAAUCGUCAAAUAUUAUCAAAUAAUGCUUCAAAAAAUAUAUUAAAAUGAUAAUUGUUACUAUAACUUUCACCUUUUGUUUUCAUAGCCUUUUUAAUUUCGUUUGUAAACUUUACGUUGGUGUAUAUAUAUUUCUUCUAGAAUGGAUGUUUUUGUUUUUGUAUACAACUCAAACACUUCAAAAUAAGCUCGAUUUUAAAAGUAUUGAUGGGUGUUUGUGUUUUGUAUUCAAGGCAAACGACGUAGUUUUGUUUCUGAAAAUAUUAGGAAUGUUGUAUCAUUCUAAAAGAUUUAAAAGUGGUGUUAUGACUGGAUCAAUAAUAGUCAUUUCAUUAUUCAGUGAUUAUGUUUUAUUGUAGAAUGUCACUUUCCAAUUUUGACUUUUUUUCUUUAAAUUGGGAGACAAUUCCAACAUCAAAUUAAAUUAUCAUGAGCUAUAUGUCUGGAUUUAUAUUGAUAUUAAUUAACCACAGCACACUUCAUCUGACUUUUCUCCUUGACUUGCAAGUCGUCAUUUUUAGGAAUUGUUAUAAUCAUGUAUUAACUUUCAAUUUUUGUAUCUAGAUUUUAGUUAAGAGGAUGAAUCAUUUUUCUUGCCCCUCUUUCACGUCGGUUUAUUCAAGGAGGUAAAUAGUAACUCUUUCAACAAGUGAACUAGAAUAGAAACAAGUAAUACACAGAAAUAAAAUAAAUAAGUUAAAAGACUAAGCCAUUUCCACGUUAACGUAUCAUGAAUUAUCUUCAAAUAAUUUCAACUCCAUCCGUCCCACGAAUCUUACGAAUCUUGAGUCACUUCUUUUCGUCUUAAACACGCAUCACUCCAUCUUCCUCGAUGGAGUCCGUUGUGCGCGCCUACGUUUCUAAGGCUCUCUCUGUCUCUCUCAAAUCGACGAAAAAUUCUUCGUCUCCCUUUCUUCUUGAAUCUGACACGAUGGUGGAAGAAACUCCGUUCUCGGAGAUGGAUGUAUGUGAAUCGGACACUGUCGUGCCGGAAACCGAAGUGGCGCCGUGGUUGCUGCCGAAACCGACGCGGCGCGCCUCCCUCUCUCUGAAUAGGAGUCGAUUCUACCGGAAUCCGGAGCGGCGACUUUCGAUCUCUGUGAAUCGCCGGAAUACAAUUCUGAUGGCUUCCAUCUCUCUGAACACAUCAGACGAGAGAGGGAAAAGGCCAAGCUUUCUUAGUCUCCGUGCCCACACCCAAAUAGGGCAUUAAAUCAUGGACGGAGGGAGUAAUUAAUAUUGAGAGUUGUGAAAAAGUGAAAGUAAGAGUAAUUAUAAGUGGUGGGGUAUAGUCAAAAAAUAGAUAAUAAGAGUAUAAUUUUAUACACAGUUUGAAAGUGACAUUUGCAAUAUGUGAGGAAACAGAUAUGUUUUGGCCUAUUUAUUACAUUUACUGCUCACGAUUUGUCUAUAAAUAUAGGAUCUAUCCCAGCAACAUUUCUCAUCCUAAACAAAAACACAACUAUUUCACAACUCGAAGAAAAAUGAGUUCCAAACUGAUUGUUCUUCUCGGCCUUUUAGCUCUUCUACUUUCUUCAGAAGUAGCUUCAGCCAGCAGAGAACUUGCUAAGACAACUAAUGCUGUCGAUCCAUGUAAGCAAAUUCUUCAAUAAUAUAUAUAUAUAUAUAUAUAUAUAUAUAUAUAUAUAUAUAUGUGUGUGUGUGUGUGUGUGUGUUUUUUGAUACAAAUUAAGUGCUCGUUUGGUUCAAGUAGAGGAAUGGAAAGGGAAUGGAAUCAAAUAAAGGAGUGGAAUGGUAACAAUAACCAUUACUUUUAUUGAGUGUUUGGUUUAACAAUGGAAAUGCAUCAUUAGUAAGGGAAUCUCUUUCUUUUGUUUCCCCUCUAUUUUGAGGGGUAACAAAUUGGGUGAUUGGGUUACCCUUAAGUAAGGGUAAUGAUUAUCUCAUUACCCAAACCAAACAACAAGUAAUGGAUUCAAUUACUUGAUUCCAUAUACAACCUCUAAAAUCACCCAAACAAAGUUAAAACUAAUUAAAUAGAGCACAAGUUUCCGCAAUUUGGUAUCAUCCAUUUUUUUUUAUAUAUAGAUUAACAAGAAAAUAAAAAAAUUAAAAGAUAGCGAUGCGGUGAACUUGAACCUAGAACCUCUGGUCUUGGCAUUAACCCCAUUGCACACUAGCGUUAGGCGAACACACAUGUGCGCACUUUUUUUCUAAAAAGUACACGCAAUGUAUGUUUAUAUUGUUCUGAAAAUGUCAAAAUUAUAAAUUUAUUGAUUACUUUAAUGCCUAAGGCCAAAGGUCUUGAGUUCGAGUUCUCUGUGGCGCGACCUUUUAAUUUCUUUAUUUAAUAUUGUAAAUUUAUCAAAAUAUAUAUAUAUAUAUAUAUAUUGAUUACUUGAACAUGCAUGUAGUGGAGAAAGGGUCCCCACCAUUUUUUGAAAUGAGUGGUUGAGAUUGAAUUUAAGAUGGAUUUUUGGUAAAUAAAGAGUAUUUGUAAGGAUAAAAGAUAAGAAAAAAAGAUGUCAGCCAUGUUCUAAAAAGGAAAGUGCAUACUUUUGGUGGACACAGAAAAUGAAUUCAAUAGGUCAUGUUUCCUUAUUUCAAUAGACUAUUUCCUAAAAUGGAAAGUCAAUACAUAACAAAUAUCCUCGUAUAAGGUCCUCCUAAUUUGGGAAACGGUCAUGGAGGUUAUCCGCCUGACCAAGGCCGCGGAUAUGGAUCACGUUGUGGCAUUCGAUUUGGAGAUGGUUAUCAGCCGCCUCCCGGCGGCUGAUCUAGUAGGUUAUCUACCUCCCAACGGCGGAUAUUGAGGUUAUCCUAGCGGUGGAUAUUGAGGUUUUCCCGGCGGUUGCAGCGACUGCUGAUGAAAAGGCGGACGUCGACACUCAGAGCUAAGCAAGGCAGCCUCAUAAUUAAGCCUAAUUAAGAUGUAAUGAAUAAAAUGCAUACAUACUUGUUAUAUAUAUUAUGAUAUUAUGAUGAUGUAACCGUCUGAUUUAUGUAAUUUUGCUUUCGCUAAUACACCAAGUUUCAAGUAUUUUUAGUUUGGGGGACACUUGUGUUCGCGCAAGUUUAAAACUGCGCGCAUGGUGAGCGCUAUAUUA